CAGCAGCCGCGGGAAUACGUAUGGUGCGAGCGUUAAUCGGAAUUACUGGGCGUAAAGCGUGCGCAGGCGGUUGUGUAAGACAGGUGUGAAAUCCCCGGGCUUAACCUGGGAACUGCGCUUGUGACUGCACAGCUAGAGUAUGGCAGAGGGGGGUGGAAUUCCACGUGUAGCAGUGAAAUGCGUAGAGAUGUGGAGGAACACCGAUGGCGAAGGCAGCCCCCUGGGCCAAUACUGACGCUCAUGCACGAAAGCGUGGGGAGCAAACAGGAUUAGAUACCCCGGUAGUCCCUGUCUCUUAUCC
This 301-nucleotide ribosomal RNA is filed under the name uncultured bacterium. Its description in RNAcentral is "partial 16S ribosomal RNA". It matches the Rfam family "Bacterial small subunit ribosomal RNA", at positions 509 to 809 of the family's 1533-position model. The record is from RNAcentral.